AGCAGUAGCCGCGUAAUACGGAGGAUCCAAGCGUUAUCCGGAAUCAUUGGGUUUAAAGGGUCCGUAGGCGGUCUUGUAAGUCAGUGGUGAAAGCCCAUCGCUCAACGGUGGAACGGCCAUUGAUACUGCAGGACUUGAAUUAUUGGGAAGUAACUAGAAUAUGUAGUGUAGCGGUGAAAUGCUUAGAGAUUACAUGGAAUACCAAUUGCGAAGGCAGGUUACUACCAAUUGAUUGACGCUGAUGGACGAAAGCGUGGGUAGCGAACAGGAUUAGAUACCCGCGUAGUCCCUGUCUCUUAUACC
This 303-nucleotide ribosomal RNA is filed under the name uncultured bacterium. RNAcentral describes it as "partial 16S ribosomal RNA". It matches the Rfam family "Bacterial small subunit ribosomal RNA", at positions 507 to 808 of the family's 1533-position model. The record is from RNAcentral.